CUGCGGGGGCGCGUGCCCGCACAGAUAUAAGCCCUCCCUCCCCUCGUUCAUCCAGUCGAGCGAUGAAGGGUCGUGGACGUAGGGAGCCGAGGUUUCUUUAGGUCUCUGUACAGCCGCAAGUAUGAGUAGCCACCACCGGAGUACAUAGCAGCAGAGGAGGUCGAGUUCCAGUCCCGACCGUGGGUGGUGCUCUCCUCCAUCCCCGCCUUCCUUGACGCCACCGUUGAGCAGGCAUCGAUGCUCGUGCCCUGGGCGCCUCCUUCCUGACCACCUCGCCGGAGAAAGAGAAUCGGACGCGGGAUUUCUCGCCACGGUGGCACGCUUCGCCAUGGUCGUGGUGCUCUACGCUGCAAAGCCGGGAGAAGAACAGGUGGUUCAAGAGGAGCCACACAACGAGGAGUUCGAUUCGAUCUAGGUGGCGUCUCCCAGUUGACUUUCUGACGCCAAGGAUGGAUUUUAGAUCCAUUUACAUUUAUAAUUUAUUUUGUAAGACUUCCGCUAUGUAAUAAGUACUCUGAUUAUAUUGUGACAUUUAUCUCUAUACACUCUAUUAUUAUAUAUGUUGUUAUCUUUGGCGCAUGUAUGAGAUGUACUCGGCUUUGUCCCUUAAAUCUGGGUGUGACAAAAGCCUAGGCCUCAAGUUUACUUUA
Molecule: long non-coding RNA, 650 nt
Organism: Zea mays
Lineage: Eukaryota; Viridiplantae; Streptophyta; Magnoliopsida; Poales; Poaceae
Exons: 2
Source: RefSeq, a predicted model, not a curated record